Molecule: ribosomal RNA, 509 nt
Filed under: uncultured bacterium
Lineage: Bacteria
Description: bacterial SSU rRNA
Rfam family: Bacterial small subunit ribosomal RNA
Source: RNAcentral
AUGGCUCAGGAUGAACGCUAGCUACAGGCUUAACACAUGCAAGUCGAGGGGCAGCAUGAAGUUUGCUUGCAAACUUGAUGGCGACCGGCGCACGGGUGAGUAACGCGUAUCCAACUCCCUAUAGUAGAGAAUAGCCCGGCGAAAGUCGGAUUUAAUGCUCUAUGUUCUUCUUUGAUGGCAUCUGACGAGAAGCAAAGGUUCACCGCUAUAGGAUGGGGAUGCGUCUGAUUAGGUUGUUGGCGGGGUAACGGCCCACCAAGCCCACGAUCAGUAGGGGUUCUGAGAGGAAGGUCCCCCACAUUGGUACUGAGACACGGACCAAACUCCUACGGGAGGCAGCAGUGAGGAAUAUUGGUCAAUGGACGGAAGUCUGAACCAGCCAAGUAGCCGUGCAGGACGACUGCCCUAUGGGUUGUAAACUGCUUUUAUAGGGGAAUAAAGUGAGGUACGCGUACCUUUUUGUAUGUACCCUAUGAAUAAGGACCGGCUAAUUCCGUGCCAGCAGCAGC